RNAcentral lists this ribosomal RNA (633 nucleotides) under uncultured Plantibacter sp. RNAcentral's name for it is "bacterial SSU rRNA". It matches the Rfam family "Bacterial small subunit ribosomal RNA", at positions 28 to 674 of the family's 1533-position model. The record is from RNAcentral. Lineage: Bacteria; Bacillati; Actinomycetota; Actinomycetes; Micrococcales; Microbacteriaceae.
GACGAACGCUGGCGGCGUGCUUAACACAUGCAAGUCGAACGAUGAAGCCCAGCUUGCUGGGUGGAUUAGUGGCGAACGGGUGAGUAACACGUGAGUAACCUGCCCUUGACUCUGGGAUAAGCGUUGGAAACGACGUCUAAUACCGGAUACGAGCUUCCACCGCAUGGUGAGUUGCUGGAAAGAAUUUUGGUCAAGGAUGGACUCGCGGCCUAUCAGCUUGUUGGUGAGGUAAUGGCUCACCAAGGCGACGACGGGUAGCCGGCCUGAGAGGGUGACCGGCCACACUGGGACUGAGACACGGCCCAGACUCCUACGGGAGGCAGCAGUGGGGAAUAUUGCACAAUGGGCGAAAGCCUGAUGCAGCAACGCCGCGUGAGGGACGACGGCCUUCGGGUUGUAAACCUCUUUUAGCAGGGAAGAAGCGAAAGUGACGGUACCUGCAGAAAAAGCACCGGCUAACUACGUGCCAGCAGCCGCGGUAAUACGUAGGGUGCAAGCGUUGUCCGGAAUUAUUGGGCGUAAAGAGCUCGUAGGCGGUUUGUCGCGUCUGCUGUGAAAUCCCGAGGCUCAACCUCGGGUCUGCAGUGGGUACGGGCAGACUAGAGUGCGGUAGGGGAGAUUGGAAUUCCUGGU